UACUACCUUGUUGGGCUCUCAGCUGCAACUUUUCUUCUUCUUUUCACAGAGAGCGAAACCUUUAUGUAUCAAUGGCUCUUUUGGCAAAUUGAUCUUUCUUUCUUUCUUUCUUUUCUUCCUUCCCCCCCCCCCCCCCUCAUUUGAUCUCAUUUUUUGGGCCAUUAAAGAUUAGUUUUUUUGUUAAGAAUGAAGUGUUCAACUCGGCUUGACUCGGCCGUUUUUCAACUCACUCCAACUCGAACCAGGUGUGAUUUGAUUAUAUGUGUAAAUGGGAAGAUAGAGAAAGUAGCUUCUGGGUUGGUACAGCCAUUUCUUGACCACUUGAAAACUGCUCAAGAUCAAGUGGCCAAGGGGGGCUACUCAAUAAUUCUUGAGCCUGGAAGUGAUGCAACGUGGUUCACGAAAGGAACAGUUGAGAGAUUUGUUCGCUUCGUGAGUACACCAGAGGUGUUGGAACGGGUUUACUAUUUAGAAUCUGAGAUCUUGCAGAUCGAGAAGGGAAUUGCAAUUCAAAGCAACAAUGAUACGGGGUUGAGCUCAGUAGAAGAUCAUCAAGCAAAACCUGUAGAGCGCAUUGAAGGUAGCAAGCCUCUGACAGAUUCUAGUGAGGAAAAAGCCAUUGUCCUUUAUAAGCCUGGCUCAGAUCCACAUGAAGCAGAUGGGUCGACUGUGCAGGAAGGAAAUUCCAAGGUUCAGCUUAUGAAAGCUCUGGAGACACGAAAAACUUUGCUGCAGAAAGAGCAGGGCAUGGCCUUUGCACGUGCUGUGGCUGCUGGUUUUGACAUUGAUCACAUGGCACAUUUGAUAUCAUUUGCUGAAAGUUUUGGAGCCUUACGCUUGAUGGAUGCCUGUGUCAGAUUCAUGGAAUUAUGGAAAAGGAAGCAUGAAACUGGCCAGUGGGUUGAGAUUGAAGGAGCUGAAGCAAUGUCUAGCAGGUCUGACUUUUCUUCCAUGAAUGCGUCGGGCAUUGUUCUUUCCAAUACAAUAAACAAGCAGUGGCCUGAAACUCCUGAUAGUAAAAGGAAAGCUGGUGCUGACCCAAUUGCAGGUAUGAACUCAAAAUAUGAGCGGCCUCCAAUAGAUCAACAACCAUCACCAGGCCAGCAGGAGUAUUUUCAAGGCCAGUUUCCACAUCCUAUGUUUCCUCCUUGGCCCAUUCAUUCUCCACCUGGAGCAGUGCCUGUCUUUCCAGGGUAUCCCAUGCAAGGCAUUCCUUACUACCAGAAUUAUCCAGGAAAUAGCCCAGUUUUUCAGCCACCAUAUUCAUCAGGGGAGGAUCCUAGAAUCAAUGCUGGUCAAAGAAUGAGUCACAGAAGGCAUUCAAUGGAUAGCAAUACUGAACCUGAAGCUUGGGAAGUGGAUGCUUUGAGAACAAGAUCUCAGGAUGAGACAGAAGAGAAGGAAACUUCAGGAGGUCGAGAACCUGGGAGGAAGGGAAGUCGUUCAGGUAAAAGACAAUCAGGUACGGUUGUUAUUCGGAACAUCAACUACAUUACUUCAAAGAGACAGGAGGCAUCUGGCAGUGAAUCUCAAUCAGCUUCUGGUUCUGAAAAUGACGAGGAAGAUGAAGUUUUAUUGAACACCACUACGAAUUCCAAGCAUAGGAACUCUCUGAGAUCCUCAAAAAGGAAGGGAAGCCAUAAAAAAUCUGUGGAUAAACUGAACUCGUCAGAUGUGGCUAGAACAUCUUAUGGGAAGGAGGAUGAUGGUGAACACUGGAAAGCAUUUCAAAAUUAUUUGCUAAAAGAUGCUGAUGAAGCUGAACGUGCUGUUGAUCAAGGCAUGUUUGCAAUGGAAAAGAAUGUUCGAGCAAAAAGGCGACAAAAUACAAUGGGUGAUGAUCCCUUAGUUAUUGAUGGACGAGAUCCAGGUGAUAUUCAAGAAGGGGAUGUGACAGAUAUGCAGAAAAUUAGUGGAAACUGGACCCGCAUGACUAAUGCAUCAAAAGAUGAAUUGUUGAUAUCAAGAAAAAUGGGCCAGCCUAAUGAUGGUACAGGGUUUGUAAAUGGUCAAAUGGAUCUACAGUCUGUGGAUAUAGAUGGCGGGAGAGGUCGGUGUAGGAUGAAUGCAAAUGAUGAUUUUGUAAUUCAUGGACGAGAAAACAAGUCAGGUUAUAGAAGUUCAUCAUCAGAUCCACUAGCUAUUAAUGGUUUUGAGACUGCAAAAGGUGAUCUGGACAGGAGAUCAUCCAACAAUAUGGAUGACGAUUCAUAUGUAGUUUCACUACGGUCAACAUCACUAGAUCAAGUUGUAACUGAGGGAAGAAACAUUAUCGAUGUGGAUUCUGAGUUCCCAUCAACAGUUCAGAAGACAGAAAACUUAUCUAACAGGGUUGGAAGCCAAGUCAAAUAUGAACCAGAUGAUUUAAGUUUGAUGCCUGAACGUGGGACAGAAAAGGGAUCAAUCGGUUAUGAUCCUGCUUUAGAUUAUGAUAUGCAGGCCUCACUACAUAAGAAAAAUAAGGUGGUAACUGGGCAAGGCUCUAUGAAGUCAGACAAGUACCGGAAACCAAAACUCAUUCCAGAUACUUCAGAUAGGAAGAAGACGGUAGGACCAAUAAGGAAAGGAAAGCCUUCAAAGUUGAGUCCUUUGGAUGAAGCAAGAGCCCGUGCUGAGAAGCUAAGAGCAUUUAAAGCUGAUCUCCAGAAAAUGAAGAAAGAGAAGGAAGAAGAAGAGAUUAAACGACUGGAAGCUUUGAAGUUAGAGAGACAAAAGAGAAUUGCUGCUAGAGGCAGUUCCACAACUGCUCUGCCAGCAUUGCAGCAAACCAGAAAACAAUUGCCUACAAAACUUUCCCCAGGCUCUCACAGAGGAUCAAAAUUCAGUGAUUCAGAGCCUGGAUCCUUGUCACCUCUGCAAAGGUUCUCCAUCAAAAGUGUUUCUGCAGGAUCGGGUGAUUCUCGGAAAGUCUCUAGGUCCAGCAAAUUGAGCACUGGACCUAGCACAGCUGGAAAUAGAUUAACUCUGUCAUUAUCGUCAUUGUCUGAACCAAAGAACGAGAAAAGUGGUGUAACACCCGAUUCAAAGGCGUCGAUGGCCAGGAUUAGAAGAUUAUCAGAGCCAAAAGUAAGUAGCAGCAAUCAUGCUUCAAUUAAACCACGAAAAACUGGACCAGUACUGAAACCAAAAUUAUCCAGUGGGACUGAGAUCAAGAAAAUAUCUGCCAUCAUGAACCAUGAUAAAAGCAAGGCGGCAUCUCUUCCAGAACUGAAAACCAAAACCACUAAAGGGCAUGAUUUUGCCCCUGGCAAUUCAGCAGCAAAAGAAAUUCCACAGAAGAUGCACGAAAGCAAGGCCAUUGCAACUUCAGAGAGCAAUGAACUGAAACAGAAUGGAAACAAAAUUUCACAUCAUAGUGAUGAGGAUGACAAUCCAAUAAUUGAGAAGACUGUUGUUGUGCUCGAGCGUGAGAAGCCCUCCAUUCCCUAUGUACACACAUCAGAGCACAAAAUAGAAGUACAAGAUGGAUACUCUAAUAACUAUAAAUUAGGGGAGAAAACAGAUACUGUGGUGGAUUAUGCUGCUAUUCGAGCACCAGUUUCACCACUUACCAUGGAUGGGAUUGGUAGAAAACACACUGAGUACCAGUUACCAAAGCACCCUGGGCUUCAUGAGGCUGCAUCUGUACAUGCAAGUCAUGCAGAGAAGGAAUCACCAAAGCUUACAAGCACCAUUGUUGAGAAGCCCUACCAUGCCCCUUAUGCUCGGGUCUCAUCUUUGGAAGAUCCAUGUACUGGAAAUUCCGAAUACGGCAAAGCACCUCCAUCAAGCGUAACGGAUUCAGCAGGCACAGAGACCAUUAAAGCUCACGUGUCUGGUUUAAAAAGCUUGAAACUAGAAGAGAUCCCUGAAGCAUUGGAGAAGCCUCAUGCAAAGGAAUCAUCGAAAGGGUUUCGACGAUUGCUGAAGUUUGGAAGAAAGAGUCAUACUACAGGUGAACGUAAUGCAGAAAUAAAUCAUGUCAGUUUGAAUGGGUCCAAGACAGAUGAUAAUGCUGCCUCUUCCAGUGAAGUUCAUACAUUGAAGAAUCUUAUCUCUCAAGAUGAAACCCUCACUGCUGGCUCCAAUCAAAAGACUUCUCGUCACUUCUCAUUGCUAUCGCCCUUCCGAAGUAAGACAGGUGAAAAGAAGUUGACUACUUGAUAGCUGAUAUGUGGAUGUACCAAAGCAGAAAGCUGGUCUUGUUUUGCACCAUUUUUUUGUGCUUUGUUGAUUUUCAUGUCUUGUAAUUGAAAGAAAGGUUGUUGACUUGUUGCUCCCACUCCUAUUAAAGUACGACAGUGUUGAUAGAUUGUUAGAAGUUUUUGACAUGGCUUACUUGGAAUAAGAUAUCCUGGAAUCUUCACAAA
RNA transcript from Populus nigra (black poplar), 4349 nucleotides. It is a transcript of the gene named COP1-interacting protein 7-like, with no coding region annotated. The transcript is spliced from 14 exons. The record is from RefSeq and is a predicted model, not a curated record. NCBI's taxonomy places the organism in Eukaryota, Viridiplantae, Streptophyta, Magnoliopsida, Malpighiales, Salicaceae.